GACGAACGCUGGCGGCGUACUUAGCACAUGCAAGUCGAACGGAAAGGCCUCUUUCGGGGGGUACUCGAGUGGCGAACGGGUGAGUAACACGUGAGUAACCUGCCCUUGACUUUGGGAUAACUUCAGGAAACUGGGGCUAAUACCGGAUAGGAGCUCCUGCUGCAUGGUGGGGGUUGGAAAGUUUCGGCGGUUGGGGAUGGACUCGCGGCUUAUCAGCUUGUUGGUGGGGUAGUGGCUUACCAAGGCUUUGACGGGUAGCCGGCCUGAGAGGGUGACCGGCCACAUUGGGACUGAGAUACGGCCCAGACUCCUACGGGAGGCAGCAGUGGGGAAUAUUGCACAAUGGGUGGAAGCCUGAUGCAGCAACGCCGUGUGCGGGAUGACGGCCUUCGGGUUGUAAACCGCUUUCGCUCAUGACGAAGCUUUGUGUGACGGUAGUGGGUAAAGAAGCACCGGCUAACUACGUG
RNAcentral lists this ribosomal RNA (467 nucleotides) under uncultured bacterium. Its description in RNAcentral is "partial 16S ribosomal RNA". It matches the Rfam family "Bacterial small subunit ribosomal RNA", at positions 28 to 507 of the family's 1533-position model. The record is from RNAcentral.